This 490-nucleotide ribosomal RNA is filed under the name uncultured bacterium. Its description in RNAcentral is "partial 16S ribosomal RNA". It matches the Rfam family "Bacterial small subunit ribosomal RNA", at positions 29 to 506 of the family's 1533-position model. The record is from RNAcentral.
GUGAACGCUGGCGGUAGGCCUAACACAUGCAAGUCGAACGGCAGCACAGUAAGAGCUUGCUCUUACGGGUGGCGAGUGGCGGACGGGUGAGGAAUACAUCGGAAUCUACUUUUUCGUGGGGGAUAACGUAGGGAAACUUACGCUAAUACCGCAUACGACCUACGGGUGAAAGCAGUGGAUCUUCGGACCUUGCGCGAUUGAAUGAGCCGAUGUCGGAUUAGCUAGUUGGCGGGGUAAAGGCCCACCAAGGCGACGAUCCGUAGCUGGUCUGAGAGGAUGAUCAGCCACACUGGAACUGAGACACGGUCCAGACUCCUACGGGAGGCAGCAGUGGGGAAUAUUGGACAAUGGGCGCAAGCCUGAUCCAGCCAUACCGCGUGGGUGAAGAAGGCCUUCGGGUUGUAAAGCCCUUUUGUUGGGAAAGAAAAGCAGCAGGUUAAUACCCCGCUGUUCUGACGGUACCCAAAGAAUAAGCACCGGCUAACUUCGU